Molecule: unclassified non-coding RNA, 267 nt
Filed under: Hevea brasiliensis (rubber tree)
Lineage: Eukaryota; Viridiplantae; Streptophyta; Magnoliopsida; Malpighiales; Euphorbiaceae
Source: RNAcentral
CUAAAACCUGCCAUCAUCCUCCCAUUCCACACCCCUCCCCUCGCCUUCCGCUCCCGUCGCUGCCUCCGCCUCACCGUCCGCUCGGCCACGGCCAUCGAGAAGGAAACCCCCGAAGCCGAGCGGCCGGAGACAUUCCUCCGCGGCGACGCCUCCUCUUCCGUUCGUGGCCGCUUCGAGCGGAUGAUCCGCUCCGCCCAGGACGAGGUAUGCGCGGCAAUCGAAGCAGCAGACGGCGGGGGACGGUUCGUGGAGGACGUCUGGUCGCGG